RNAcentral lists this ribosomal RNA (1024 nucleotides) under Argyroneta aquatica (water spider). RNAcentral's name for it is "16S ribosomal RNA". The stretch from base 677 to 977 matches the Rfam family "Archaeal large subunit ribosomal RNA", at positions 2154 to 2717 of the family's 2987-position model. Lineage: Eukaryota; Metazoa; Arthropoda; Arachnida; Araneae; Dictynidae. The record is from RNAcentral.
UAAAAUCUAAUUUAUUUUCAAAAAAUACUUUUUUAUUUAUCUUUAAAUAAAUUUUUAAACAAACUGAAAAGGAAAAUUAAAUUUACUCAAAGAAACCCAAUGUUCCUUUUGUAUCAGGAUUUGUUAAAUCUCUUAAAUAUUCAACCUUCCCGAAAAAUUGUGAUCUAAAUAUUCUCAUAUUUAUUGUUUCAAAAAUAACUCAAAAGAAUAUUUAGAAAUUAUACGUUUACCGUACAGUUUUAUAUCUGGUUCUUAAAAAAUCUUCACAAUAAAACAAAACCAAAAAGAAUAAACUUGUUGGUAAAUUUACAUUUCAAUUACUCCUCUUAAGGGAUAAAAGUACCCAUAAAGUUUUACAACUAAUUCAAACUCAAAUUAAAUAAUAUUAUUUAAGAACUUUUACCUAAAAAAUAUAAUAAUAAAAUAAGUAAAUCAUUAAAUUUAAUAUAUAAAACUCGGCCUAAAUUAAAUGACUGUUUAUCAAAAACAUUUCUAAUAGAACUCAUUAUUAGUAUUAUCUGCUCAAUGAUAAUAAAUAGCCGCAAUUACAUUGUGCUAAGGUAGCAUAAUCAUUAGUCUUUUAAUUAAAGACCAGCACGAAAGAUCCAACAUUUUAAUUUCUAUUAUAUAUAAAUUUAUUAAAAUUAUUUUAAAUGUAAAAAAACAUUUAUACAAAAAAGAGACAACAAGACCCUAUUGAACUUUACUUUAGUUUAACUGGGGCAGUUAAUUAAUUAAAAUUUUAAUUUACACUAAAUACCCAAUUGACCCGAUUUAAUCGAUUAUAUAAUCAAGUUACCAUAGGGAUAACAGCGUAAUAAUUUUCUAAAGAUCUUAUUUAAAAAAUUGAUUGCGACCUCGAUGUUGAAUUAAUUAUCUAUUUAAUGCAAUAAUUAAAAAAGAAAGUCUGUUCGACUUUUAAAUAAUUACAUGAUUUGAGUUCAGACCGGCGUAAGCCAGGUCGGUUUAUAUCUUUUACUUAAUUUUUAAUAGUACGAAAGGACCUUAAAAAGUAUUUUAAAUA